Long non-coding RNA from Cynara cardunculus var. scolymus (artichoke), 2214 nucleotides. RefSeq lists it as uncharacterized. The transcript has 3 exons. The record is from RefSeq and is a predicted model, not a curated record. Lineage: Eukaryota; Viridiplantae; Streptophyta; Magnoliopsida; Asterales; Asteraceae.
AGAAAGGUUAAACCGCACGCUACUUGAUCGGAUUCCUUGACCGGAGAGGUAAACCGAUCAAUUUCAGGUAAGGUUUAAUUUUUUGAGCGGUGUUCAUCCUAUAUUCAUCUAUACCGGACACGCUUUGAUCGGUAUUCAUCUACACCGGUCACUACUUGACCGGAUUAAAGUUCUGAUUCGGUAAGCAGGUAAGAUUUCUUGAUAUUCAUUUAAGCGGACUAGGGCUUAAUUUUUCAAUAUUGAGCGGACCUCUAAUCCGCUUGAUUUCACUUAUCCAGAUUCCAAUUUUAUUUUGAAACCGUUAGUUUGGGAGUUGUUGAUGACAGUGUUUUGAGCUGUGCUGUGUUGAAGCAGCAGUACCGCUUGUUAUUUGAAGCAGAAGCACAAGAACAACAACUGCUUUGUUUUGACUUGAUUUCGUGAUUUGAAACGGCAACAGCAACUGCUGUGCUGUGAUUUGUGAUUCGUGCAGUAAACGAGCAAUAUUAGAAGCAAUAUUUGAAGCAGCUACAGCAGAGGUUCUGUGCACACAUAGCAGGUGAACAGGUUGUUUAGACAGCAAACAGAACAUCAGCAGCAAAGGUUUAUAUCUGUGUUUAUAACUGUUGGUUUGGAAACUGUUGGUUUGGAAGCUGUUGGUGUGGAGAAGACUGCAGCAGCAGCAACAACAACAUUGUGACAGCAUUGCAAGGCGAUUUAGUACAGAUAACAAGUCUAACAGGUUGUUUAAAAGCUGUUGGGUGUGAAUCGAAUUGUAAUAGCAGCUGUGCUGUGAUGGGUUUUGACAGCAACUUCAUUUUGACAGCAAAUUCAUUUUGACAGCAACUAUAUUUUGGCAGCAAAUUCAUUUUGACAGCAACUAUAUUUUGACAGCAAAUUCAUUUUGACAGCAACUAUAUUUUGACARCAAAUUCAUUUUGACAWCAACUAUAUUUUGACAGCAAAUUCAUUUUGACARCAACUAUAUUUUGACAGCAAAUUCAUUUUGACAKCAACUAUAUUUUGACAGCAAAUUCAUUUUGACAACAACUUCAUUUUGACAGCAAAUUCAUUUUGACAGCAACUUCAUUUUGACAGCAACUUCAUUUUGACAGCAACUUUCAUUUUGACAGCUUCAUUUUCUGUUUUGACAGCAACUAAGCAGCAGCAACAGCAAGCAUAACAGCAGUGAUGUUGUUUAUGGUGUUUGAAACAGUGAUGUUGUUUAUGCAGGUUUGAAACAGCAAGCAUAACAGCAGCUCACAGAAACAGCAGGAUUGUUCUAUGUUUGUUAUUUGAAAAAUUGAAGGAAAUUUAAUUGCUUAUUUGUAGAUUCACAGUAACAAAAGUAGUUUGUACAGCAAGUGUUGUUGAAGCGACUACAUGAGGGGCUCAAGGGUGGACAUUUAGUUGUGAUUUGUUGACUGGUGCUUUAAGAAAUCCUUGAGCAGCACCAACUCAAGAUGCAAAUGGCAUAAAUGAGUCUGCUUUAACAGUUCUAAGGGAUUCAUAUUUGUUGUGAGUUUGUAUUAAGACUUGAUCAGUUGCUGUUUGGAAAUUGCACAGGUCUUAGCAGGUUUUAUUUUAAGUUGAGUUUAAGCUUCACAUCUAUACAGCAACUGCUUCAUUUUCUGCUAACAGCAGCAACAAAACUAAACUGCAGCAGCGACUCUUAAACAGAACAGAAGCAGAGUGUGCAAGUCUAACAGCUUCACAGGUCUUAACAGGUUGUCGGUGAGGCUGUUUCCUAUAUUAAGACUGUAAUAGCAAUUCAAUUACAGCAAUUCAAAAUCUGAAAAGAGUGUAGUUUUGAAGCCAUUGCUGUUUGAUUUUGAGAUUCUGGAAGUGUGAAGCUCGUAGGCACAGACUGCUGUUUCUUCGAGGUUUUGAGAAGCUGUUUUGAGCUUAUUUGACUGACUGUUAUACAGAACCUGUUUAAGAAGAAGGCUGCAGCAGGGACAGCAGGUCUGUCUGUGUGUGGAUUUGAGUACUGGACCAGAAGCCAUCUGAACAGGUCUUUCAGAUCAAAAGUGACUGAUACAAAGGUGUUGCCCAAUUAAGAACUGUGCUAAGUGGAUCCUUCCAAGACGAAUUCAAGUGGAUUUUUGAAUACACUUCAGAGAGCAGAUAGAAUAUUGUUUUUAAAAGUUUCAUAUCUGUAUUGUUUGCCUUGAAUUAGCUUGUUUGGGACUUGUCUUGGAUCGGUGUGAUUUGGACUUAGACUCAUAUUUUUGG